This 254-nucleotide ribosomal RNA is filed under the name uncultured bacterium. Its description in RNAcentral is "partial 16S ribosomal RNA". It matches the Rfam family "Bacterial small subunit ribosomal RNA", at positions 524 to 776 of the family's 1533-position model. The record is from RNAcentral.
UACGUAGGGCGCAAGCGUUAUCCGGAUUUACUGGGCGUAAAGCGUGUGCAGGCGGUUCGGCAAGUUGGAUGUGAAAUCUCCCGGCUCAACUGGGGAGGGGUCGUUCAAUACUACCGAACUUGAGGGCAUCAGAGGAAGGUGGAAUUCCGGGUGUAGUGGUGAAAUGCGUAGAUAUCCGGAGGAACACCAGUGGCGAAGGCGGCCUUCUGGGAUGCUCCUGACGCUCAGACACGAAAGCUAGGGGAGCGAACGGG